This 497-nucleotide ribosomal RNA is filed under the name uncultured bacterium. Its description in RNAcentral is "partial 16S ribosomal RNA". It matches the Rfam family "Bacterial small subunit ribosomal RNA", at positions 28 to 507 of the family's 1533-position model. The record is from RNAcentral.
GAUGAACGCUGGCGGCGUGCCUAAUACAUGCAAGUCGAGCGAACAGACGAGGAGCUUGCUCCUCUGACGUUAGCGGCGGACGGGUGAGUAACACGUGGAUAACCUACCUAUAAGACUGGGAUAACUUCGGGAAACCGGAGCUAAUACCGGAUAAUAUAUUGAACCGCAUGGUUCAAUAGUGAAAGACGGUUUUGCUGUCACUUAUAGAUGGAUCCGCGCCGCAUUAGCUAGUUGGUAAGGUAACGGCUUACAAAGGCAACGAUGCGUAGCCGACCUGAGAGGGUGAUCGGCCACACUGGAACUGAGACACGGUCCAGACUCCUACGGGAGGCAGCAGUAGGGAAUCUUCCGCAAUGGGCGAAAGCUUGACGGAGCAACGCCGCGUGAGUGAUGAAGGUCUUCGGAUCGUAAAACUCUGUUAUUAGGGAAGAACAAAUGUGUAAGUAACUAUGCACGUCUUAACGGUACCUAAUCAGAAAGCCACGGCUAACUACGUG